This 450-nucleotide ribosomal RNA is filed under the name uncultured bacterium. RNAcentral describes it as "partial 16S ribosomal RNA". It matches the Rfam family "Bacterial small subunit ribosomal RNA", at positions 338 to 795 of the family's 1533-position model. The record is from RNAcentral.
CCUACGGGGGGCAUCAGUAAGGAAUAUUGGUCAAUGGACGCAAGUCUGAACCAGCCAUGCCGCGUGGAGGAUUAAGGCCCUCUGGGUUGUAAACUCCUUUUAUCUGGGAAGAAAUGUACUUUUUCUUGAGUACUUGACGGUACCAGAGGAAUAAGCACCGGCUAACUCCGUGCCAGCAGCCGCGGUAAUACGGAGGGUGCAAGCGUUAUCGGGAUUCACUGGGGCGUAGGUGUGCAUAGAUGUGCAGGUAGAAAUCUCCGGGCUUAACCCGGAAACUGCCGUUGAUACUAUUUAUCUUGAAUAUUGUGGAGGUAAGCGGAAUAUGUCAUGUAGCGGUGAAAUGCUUAGAUAUGACAUAGAACACCAAUUGCGAAGGCAGCUUACUACACAAUCAUUGACGCUGAGGCACGAAAGCGUGGGGAUCAAACAGGAUUAGAUACCCCUGUAGUC